UACGUAGGGGGCCAGCGUUGUCCGGAAUCAUUGGGCGUAAAGCGCGUGUAGGCGGCCUUGUAAGUCCGUUCUGAAAGCCCGGGGCUCAACCCCGGGAGGCGGAUGGAUACUGCAAGGCUCGAGUACGGAAGAGGCGAGUGGAAUUCCCGGUGUAGCGGUGAAAUGCGCAGAUAUCAGGAGGAACACCGGUGGCGAAGGCGGAUCUCUGGGCCUUACCUGACGCUGAGGCGCGAAAGCUAGGGGAGCGAACAGG
Molecule: ribosomal RNA, 253 nt
Filed under: uncultured bacterium
Lineage: Bacteria
Description: partial 16S ribosomal RNA
Rfam family: Bacterial small subunit ribosomal RNA
Source: RNAcentral